CCUACGGGGAGCUGCAGUGAGGAAUAUUGGUCAAUGGGCGGAAGCCUGAACCAGCCAAGUCGCGUGAGGGAAUAAGGCCCUACGGGUCGUAAACCUCUUUUGCCGGGGAGCAAGGGCGGGGACGUGUCCCGGCACGGAGAGUACCCGGAGGAAAAGCAUCGGCUAACUCCGUGCCAGCAGCCGCGGUCAUACGGAGGAUGCGAGCGUUAGCCGGAUUUAUUGGGGUGAAAGGGUGCGUAGGCGGGCUUUUAAGGAAGGGGGAAAAAUUCGGGGCUCAAACCCGUCCGGCCGUUGAAACUGGGUGCCUUGAGUGGGCGAGAAGAAGGCGGAAUGCGUGGUGUAGCGGUGAAAUGCAUAGAUAUCACGCAGAACCCCGAUUGCGAAGGCAGCCUUCCGGCGCCCUACUGACGCUGAGGCACGAAAGUGCGGGGAUCGAACAGGAUUAGAUACCCGAGUAGUC
This 460-nucleotide ribosomal RNA is filed under the name uncultured bacterium. RNAcentral describes it as "partial 16S ribosomal RNA". It matches the Rfam family "Bacterial small subunit ribosomal RNA", at positions 338 to 795 of the family's 1533-position model. The record is from RNAcentral.